Molecule: ribosomal RNA, 464 nt
Filed under: uncultured Verrucomicrobiota bacterium
Lineage: Bacteria; Pseudomonadati; Verrucomicrobiota
Description: bacterial SSU rRNA
Rfam family: Bacterial small subunit ribosomal RNA
Source: RNAcentral
CCUACGGGUGGCAGCAGUCGAGAAUUUUUCACAAUGGGGGAAACCCUGAUGGAGCGACGCCGCGUGGGGGAUGAAUGGCUUCGGCCCGUAAACCCCUGUCAUUUGCGAACAAACCCUGCAGUUUAAGAGAUGGCAGGCUGAUCGUAGCAGAAGAGGAAGGGACGGCUAACUCUGUGCCAGCAGCCGCGGUAAUACAGAGGUCCCAAGCGUUGUUCGGAUUCACUGGGCGUAAAGGGUGCGUAGGCGGCGAGGUAAGUUUGAGGUGAAAUCUCCGGGCUCAACCCGGAAGCGGCCUUGAAGACUAUCUUGCUAGAGGAUCGGAGGGGAGAUCGGAAUUCUCGGUGUAGCAGUGAAAUGCGUAGAUAUCGAGAGGAACACCAGUGGCGAAGGCGGAUCUCUGGACGAAACCUGACGCUGAGGCACGAAAGCCAGGGGAGCAAACGGGAUUAGAUACCCUUGUAGUC